AUGGAAACACCCAAGAGCUGGAAUUUCAUCCUGAUAUGCAGUCACUGGCAGGAAACUCUUCAGUGGUUUUUGGGGCUGAGGUAGCUCGGAAUGUGGAUGGAAUGUAAGUGUGU
Long non-coding RNA from Pipistrellus kuhlii (Kuhl's pipistrelle), 113 nucleotides. RefSeq lists it as uncharacterized. Lineage: Eukaryota; Metazoa; Chordata; Mammalia; Chiroptera; Vespertilionidae. The transcript is spliced from 3 exons. The record is from RefSeq and is a predicted model, not a curated record.